AUGAAACACGACGUGAGCAUAUGGACUUCAAUGGCAAAAUUGUUUUUGGUGAAAUUAUAUAAAGCACUUUGCUUCGAGUAUAUGCCCAAGGGGAGCCUUCAAAGGCAUCUUUCUGAUGAAUGUAAUGGACUUGAUUGGCAAACACGUUACAAAAUUAUCAAAGGGGCCUGUGAAGGUUUAAAAUACCUCCAUGAAGGAUUCGAAAAACCAUUUUACCACUUGGACCUAAAACCAGACAAUAUACUUCUAGAUAAAAACAUGGUCCCUAAACUGGCAGAUAUUGGUUUGUCCAAGCUUUUUUGGCGAAGAACAAACUAG
RNAcentral lists this ribosomal RNA (318 nucleotides) under Triticum aestivum (bread wheat). Its description in RNAcentral is "partial small subunit ribosomal RNA". The record is from RNAcentral. Lineage: Eukaryota; Viridiplantae; Streptophyta; Magnoliopsida; Poales; Poaceae.